GACAUAGGUGGCGAACGUUAUCCGGAGUUACUGGGCGUAAAGGGCGUGCAGGCGUUCUGAUAAGUUCGGCGUGAAAUAUUCCGGCUUAACCGGGAUAGGUCGUCGGAGACUGUCGGACUAGAGGGUGAUAGAGGCGUGUGGAAUUCCGGGUGUAGUGGUGAAAUGCGUAGAGAUCCGGAGGAACACCGGUGGCGAAGGCGGGUCUCUGGGCCGAUACUGACGCUGAGGAGCGAAAGCGUGGGGAGCAAACAGG
Molecule: ribosomal RNA, 253 nt
Filed under: uncultured bacterium
Lineage: Bacteria
Description: partial 16S ribosomal RNA
Rfam family: Bacterial small subunit ribosomal RNA
Source: RNAcentral